UACCCCAUAGACUAUGGAUGCUGGAAUGCUCUGUAGUUGAAAGGUCCGCCGCCAUAGGAUGGGUCUGCGGCCGAUUAGGUUGUUGUUGGGGUAACGGCCCAACAAGCCUGUAAUCGGUACGGGUUGUGGGAGCAAGAGCCCGGAGAUGGAUUCUGAGACACGAAUCCAGGCCCUACGGGGCGCAGCAGGCGCGAAAACUUUACAAUGCGGGAAACCGUGAUAAGGGAACUCCGAGUGCCCGUAAAAUCGGGCUGUCCAUCUGUUUAAAUAACAGGUGAAGAAAGGGCCGGGCAAGACCGGUGCCAGCCGCCGCGGUAAUACCGGCGGCUCGAGUGGUGGCCACUAUUACUGGGCUUAAAGCGUUCGUAGCUGGUUUGUUAAGUCUCUGGGGAAAUCUGCCGGCUCAACCGGCAAGCGUUCCAGGGAUACUGGCAGACUAGGGACCGGGAGAGGUGAGGGGUACUCCAGGGGUAGGAGUGAAAUCCUGUAAUCCUUGGGGGACCACCUGUGGCGAAGGCGCCUCACCAGAACGGCUCCGACAGUGAGGGACGAAAGCUGGGGGAGCAAACCGGAUUAGAUACCCGGGUAGUCCCAGCCGUAAACGAUGCGCGUUAGGUGUAUCGGUGACCACGAGUCACCGAGGUGCCGAAGAGAAAUCGUGAAACGUGCCGCCUGGGAAGUACGGUCGCAAGGCUGAAACUUAAAGGAAUUGGCGGGGGAGCACCACAACAGGUGGAGCCUGCGGUUUAAUCGGACAACGCCGGAAAUCUCACCGGA
This 777-nucleotide ribosomal RNA is filed under the name uncultured archaeon. Its description in RNAcentral is "bacterial SSU rRNA". It matches the Rfam family "Archaeal small subunit ribosomal RNA", at positions 150 to 934 of the family's 1478-position model. The record is from RNAcentral.